AUUCCAAUGAGGAUCUCAAGACCUACAACUAGGGAAUUUUAUUUGACAAUGUAAGUAACAACUGGUUCUUUUAGUUGUAGGUGUCCAUCGUGCGACCACAACCUCUGGUUUGGUCUGGGAUGGAGCACUCAUCUGUAGUUGAUGGAUUCAACUAUGAUGUGUGAUUUCAAUUGGGUCUUUGAGUUGU
This is a non-coding RNA of Zea mays, 187 nucleotides long. NCBI's taxonomy places the organism in Eukaryota, Viridiplantae, Streptophyta, Magnoliopsida, Poales, Poaceae. The record is from Rfam.